GGGUGCGAUCGUACCAGCACUAAUGCACCGGAUCCCAUCAGAACUCUGAAGUUAAACGUGCUUGGGCGAGAGUAGUACUAAAAUGGGUGACCUCUUGGGAAGUCCUCGUGUUGCACCCC
This 119-nucleotide ribosomal RNA is filed under the name Ricinus communis (castor bean). Lineage: Eukaryota; Viridiplantae; Streptophyta; Magnoliopsida; Malpighiales; Euphorbiaceae. The record is from RNAcentral.